AACGCACAUUGCGCCCGCCGGUAUUCCGGCGGGCAUGCCUGUUCGAGCGUCAUUUCAACCAUCAAGCCCUGGGCUUGUGUUGGGGACCCGCGGCUGCUCGCGGGCCCUGAAAAGCAGUGGCGGGCUCGCUAGUCACACCGAGCGUAGUAGAGCUUCUAUUCGAUCUCGCUCAGGGCGUGCGGCGGGUGCCGGCCGUAAAACCCCAGCUUCUUCUAAGGUUGACCUCGGAUCAGGUAGGAGGACCCGCUGAACUUAA
RNAcentral lists this unclassified non-coding RNA (256 nucleotides) under uncultured Chaetomiaceae. RNAcentral describes it as "sequence contains ITS2". The stretch from base 1 to 52 matches the Rfam family "5.8S ribosomal RNA", at positions 103 to 154 of the family's 154-position model. The record is from RNAcentral. Lineage: Eukaryota; Fungi; Ascomycota; Sordariomycetes; Sordariales.